Non-coding RNA from Rattus norvegicus (Norway rat), 69 nucleotides. NCBI's taxonomy places the organism in Eukaryota, Metazoa, Chordata, Mammalia, Rodentia, Muridae. The record is from Rfam.
GGGGACUUAGCUCAGUGGUAGAGCGCUUGCCUAGGAAGCGCAAGGCCCUGGGUUCGAUCCCCAGCUCCG